AAAUAUGAAUCAUUAUAAUAUGAAUUUAGUUUCGACCUAAAAAAAGAAAUAAAAUAAAUUUUCCAUAUUUA
This 71-nucleotide transfer RNA is filed under the name Neucentropus mandjuricus. Its description in RNAcentral is "tRNA-Arg". The record is from RNAcentral. Lineage: Eukaryota; Metazoa; Arthropoda; Insecta; Trichoptera; Polycentropodidae.